GGAGUCUGGGCCGUAUCUCAGUCCCAAUGUGGCCGUUCAACCUCUCAGUCCGGCUACUGAUCGCAGCCUUGGUAGGCCGUUACCCCACCAACUAGCUAAUCAGAUGUGAGCCCAUCUUUCAGCGGAUUGCUCCUUUGGUAUCCAGGCGAUGCCGCCCAAAUACAUUAUGCGGUAUUAGCAGUCGUUUCCAACUGUUGUCCCCCUCUGAAAGGCAGGUUGCUCACACAUUACUCACCCGUCCGCCACUAAGUCAAAGGAAACUUUGACGAAUCUCCAUUUCCAAUGCUUCGUUCGACUUGCAUGUGUUAGGCACGCCGCCAGCGUUCAUC
RNAcentral lists this ribosomal RNA (329 nucleotides) under uncultured Oscillospiraceae bacterium. Its description in RNAcentral is "partial 16S ribosomal RNA". The record is from RNAcentral. Lineage: Bacteria; Bacillati; Bacillota; Clostridia; Eubacteriales; Oscillospiraceae.